This 266-nucleotide long non-coding RNA is filed under the name Chinchilla lanigera (long-tailed chinchilla). RNAcentral's name for it is "lncRNA (ENSCLAG00000023286.1)". Lineage: Eukaryota; Metazoa; Chordata; Mammalia; Rodentia; Chinchillidae. The record is from RNAcentral.
GACUGCUGUGAGGACAGCAUAUAUGAAAAACAAUUGUCAUGAAAAAACCUCAAAAGAUGACUGCUUUAAAAUAUAUACCUAAAUUCUACGAUGGCCAUCAAAGAGAAGACAAAGAAAUGAAUAUAUGGGGGCUGGGAAUUUAGCUCAGCAGCACAGCGCCUGCAUGGCAAGCGCAAGGUCAUGAGUUUGGUUCCUGGUACCGGAAAAAUCCCCCCCCCCACAAAGAAAUGUAUAUACAAUAACUUUUAACAUUUUCUGCAGUACUU